GGCUCUUUUCGCUGUUGCUGCCUUCCCGGGGGCGGUCGCUUCGCUGCCAGAGACGCUUUCUUUUUUUUCCGGGUUCUGAGCCGUUCCGGAUGCUUUAGGUUGCCGGAUGUCUGAUCUUCGGAUAACUGAGGCGUUACUGUACAUGGAUUAUCUGCUCAGGAAGGAGAAAUUCAGAAGAGGAAGGUGGUCAUAUCAAAAGGAAGUAGGGAAACAAGUAAAUAGGGAAGAAAGCAC
RNAcentral lists this long non-coding RNA (234 nucleotides) under Vombatus ursinus (common wombat). Its description in RNAcentral is "lncRNA (ENSVURG00010021275.1)". The record is from RNAcentral. Lineage: Eukaryota; Metazoa; Chordata; Mammalia; Diprotodontia; Vombatidae.